This 94-nucleotide transfer RNA is filed under the name Actinoplanes sp. NBRC 103695. RNAcentral's name for it is "tRNA-Gly". Lineage: Bacteria; Bacillati; Actinomycetota; Actinomycetes; Micromonosporales; Micromonosporaceae. The record is from RNAcentral.
CCUGGCGAAGGAGUUCGGCGUCCGGGUCGUCGCCGCCGACCUGUGGGUCAAGCCCACCGAGAACUGGGCGCGGAUCGACGCCGCGGGCCAGGCC